This 140-nucleotide ribosomal RNA is filed under the name uncultured bacterium. Its description in RNAcentral is "partial 16S ribosomal RNA". It matches the Rfam family "Bacterial small subunit ribosomal RNA", at positions 338 to 493 of the family's 1533-position model. The record is from RNAcentral.
CCUACGGGAGGCAGCAGUGGGGAAUAUUGGACAAUGGGGGAAACCCUGAUCCAGCAAUCACCGCGUGAAUGAAGAAGGCCUUUAGGGUUGUAAAGUUCUUUUAUCAGGGAAGAUAAUGACGGUACCUGAAGAAUAAGCCC